This is a long non-coding RNA of Arvicola amphibius (Eurasian water vole), 1538 nucleotides long. RefSeq lists it as uncharacterized. NCBI's taxonomy places the organism in Eukaryota, Metazoa, Chordata, Mammalia, Rodentia, Cricetidae. The record is from RefSeq and is a predicted model, not a curated record. The transcript has 3 exons.
CCUCACACCUUUGGGUGUCACCGGAAAAUGGGUGUGGAGCAGGCCCUGGAUCAGGAACAGAAAGGGACGCCCCCCAACACGCUACACACACACACACACACACACACACACACACACACACACACCAUCCUUAUCGCAGUUUUCUGGCAAAUGUAACUGAACCAGGUCAUUUAACUUACCAUAAUCGCCUCAGGAGCCAGGCUUACCAUUGAGACCGAGGCCCCGCUUCCCAAAGAAGAGAGGUUUGAGCUGAAGGGAUGGUACCAGGUUCCCCUUGACCAGUGGCAAUUGGCACUGGGAUUCGGUGCCAGUUUUCAGGCUCUGCCACGUACCUCCCUUCUCCUCAACUCACUGGGAGCUUUUACGGGCCUCCCAGGCCAACCCGAAUGGGAGCCAAGUGGCAAGGAAGAGGGCUCUUGGGAAAGGUGACAAAGGAAUGAUGUUUUCACCUCUACUGCCUCGUUUAUACUCUGGAAGGAGACUGGCCUACAAGACUGACAUUGGCCAUAUACCAAGACGUACGUUGAACAACCCCAGGGGGCACCGCUCUUUGUACUCAUUGUGUAAUUGUAUGGUUAUUGUGACCAUUUCCCAGUAGGUGGCAGUCAAAGAUUUCCAGAAAGGGAAGCCUCUUAAUUUUCCCGACGCCACUUCGCCCCUGGGUGACAUCCUAUUGAUAAGCAUAUCUAUCCCCUACCCCUCGCAGCAAUCCUUCUGGAAGUGGGAAUAGAUCUAGAGACCCACCUCCUACCUUCUUUCUCAUUUCUCCCUACGCCUCUUCAUCCUCCCCAACUUUUCUUUCUGUCUGUCCGGGCAUCGUCGGAGGCCCGGUGGAUUUGGGGGGUAGAUGGGAUGGGAGGGUCUUGCCUAAACAUCUAAGGAGAAGCCAAAGUAAAGUAUAGCUCCCUGCUAUAGCUUCUUGCUCUUUGUCCCUGGGCAAGGGUCUUUCAGCCUCGGGAUUAGGCCACCUCCCACUUUCGGCAAAUGUAAAAUAUUGGCGCGGUUGGAGGAAGAAAGGCGCCAAGAGCUGGACCUGAAGGACAGACCAAAAAGUUGCGAACUGACGGCACCUACUGGCAACCCUUAGGACUGCAGGAGGGCUGGCGUGUUAGGGCCGGAGACAGGGACUCUCAGUCACAUCUCAAGCUAAAAGGAAGGCUGAUUAUCACCUGCCUCUUCCACCUCUUGGAACCCCUGUGGGAAUAAAUGGACCGAUAAGAACAGUUUCGAAGCCCAAUGCCCUACUUGCCGUCCAGACAGCAAGCCCAAGAUGGGUAGAAACCCUGGGAUGAAGUACAGGUGCUGUGGAGGGCGGGCAUUCUGUACAGGUUUCUAGAUGACACAGAUGUCUCCACUCUGUCUCAACCCGAGCGACUGCCCCCAACUCAUCUUCUGGUGUCCUCCCCGUCGCUGCCUUAGACUCGUUCCCAGGAAGCCAGAGACCAAGCCCUGCUGUCCACAUAUGGCGUGUUCACGAAGCACCUAUGGCUUUCAGGACUUUGUGCUUUGUCUUGAGAAUAAAGAGAUGACCAAAACCA